RNAcentral lists this ribosomal RNA (253 nucleotides) under uncultured bacterium. Its description in RNAcentral is "partial 16S ribosomal RNA". It matches the Rfam family "Bacterial small subunit ribosomal RNA", at positions 524 to 776 of the family's 1533-position model. The record is from RNAcentral.
GACGAAGGGGGCUAGCGUUGUUCGGAAUUACUGGGCGUAAAGCGAGUGUAGGUGGUUGUCCAAGUUGGAUGUGAAAGCCUUGAGCUCAACUCAAGAAAUGCAUUCAGGACUGGGCGGCUAGAGGACCGGAGAGGAUAGUGGAAUUCCCAGUGUAGUGGUGAAAUACGUAGAAAUUGGGAAGAACACCAGUGGCGAAGGCGGCUAUCUGGACGGUUUCUGACACUAAGACUCGAAAGCGUGGGGAGCAAACAGG